GCUUGCACUAGAAAAACUUAGCGGCGAACGGGUGAGUAACACGUAAAGAACCUGCCUCAUAGACUGGGACAACUAUUGGAAACGAUAGCUAAUACCGGAUAACAGCAUUAACUGCAUGGUUGAUGUUUAAAAGUUGGUUAUGCUAACACUAUGAGAUGGCUUUGCGGUGCAUUAGCUAGUUGGUGGGGUAAAGGCCUACCAAGGCGACGAUGCAUAGCCGACCUGAGAGGGUGAUCGGCCACACUGGGACUGAGACACGGCCCAGACUCCUACGGGAGGCAGCAGUAGGGAAUCUUCCGCAAUGGGCGAAAGCCUGACGGAGCAACGCCGCGUGAGUGAAGAAGGAUUUCGGUUCGUAAAGCUCUGUUGUUAGGGAAGAAUGGAUAUGUAG
RNAcentral lists this ribosomal RNA (391 nucleotides) under Gemella morbillorum. RNAcentral's name for it is "bacterial SSU rRNA". It matches the Rfam family "Bacterial small subunit ribosomal RNA", at positions 75 to 460 of the family's 1533-position model. Lineage: Bacteria; Bacillati; Bacillota; Bacilli; Caryophanales; Gemellaceae. The record is from RNAcentral.